This 384-nucleotide long non-coding RNA is filed under the name Phascolarctos cinereus (koala). RNAcentral's name for it is "lncRNA (ENSPCIG00000034519.1)". Lineage: Eukaryota; Metazoa; Chordata; Mammalia; Diprotodontia; Phascolarctidae. The record is from RNAcentral.
AGACACUGCAGGGGCAGUGAUGGAUGUGAAGGCUGGGGAGGCUGGGGGCCUGAGAGUCUCACCGGCUUUGCCUUCUCGUAGAUAGGCAGGCUCCAGGGAUGCUGCCGCUCUUUCACCAGCACUCUCUGCCCACCAGAGCCCUUCUUCCUUGGGCGAUCAGUCCUAAAGCCGCCAUUUGCACGUGAAUCUCUGAGCAACCCUGGACCUGUCUGGAGCCCUUUCGAUUAUCACAUUAGGGGGCUCGGCAUAUGGUGCCCUCCUCAGCAAGACAGAUCCAAAGCCUGCACUCUGAAACAAGAAGCAGGCGGGGUUGAGGAGAAGGGCCUGCAUUCAUUCAUUGCCAUGACAUUCCACGCCGGGCUGCUUUGGAGGUUGGCUCCAUGA